RNAcentral lists this ribosomal RNA (423 nucleotides) under uncultured microorganism. RNAcentral's name for it is "bacterial SSU rRNA". It matches the Rfam family "Bacterial small subunit ribosomal RNA", at positions 9 to 430 of the family's 1533-position model. The record is from RNAcentral.
GAGUUUGAUCCUGGCUCAGAUUGAACGCUGGCGGCAUGCCUUACACAUGCAAGUCGAACGGCAGCAUGAUCUAGCUUGCUAGAUUGAUGGCGAGUGGCGAACGGGUGAGUAAUACAUCGGAACGUGCCCUGUAGUGGGGGAUAACUAGUCGAAAGAUUAGCUAAUACCGCAUACGACCUGAGGGUGAAAGUGGGGGACCGCAAGGCCUCAUGCUAUAGGAGCGGCCGAUGUCUGAUUAGCUAGUUGGUGGGGUAAAGGCCCACCAAGGCGACGAUCAGUAGCUGGUCCGAGAGGACGAUCAGCCACACUGGGACUGAGACACGGCCCAGACUCCUACGGGAGGCAGCAGUGGGGAAUUUUGGACAAUGGGCGAAAGCCUGAUCCAGCAAUGCCGCGUGUGUGAAGAAGGCCUCGGUUGUAAGU